RNAcentral lists this non-coding RNA (32 nucleotides) under Alexandrium minutum. The record is from RNAcentral. Lineage: Eukaryota; Dinophyceae; Gonyaulacales; Pyrocystaceae.
GGGCUCAAGGCGUCGUGCGCAUUUGACCCUCC